This is a long non-coding RNA of Lemur catta (Ring-tailed lemur), 385 nucleotides long. RefSeq lists it as uncharacterized. Lineage: Eukaryota; Metazoa; Chordata; Mammalia; Primates; Lemuridae. The transcript is spliced from 3 exons. The record is from RefSeq and is a predicted model, not a curated record.
AGUACAACCUAGCAGGCCAAAGGGACCAGAAAGACGAGCUCACGCAUGGAAAAGUUUGCAAUGCAGCUGCUCCUCACUUGUUGUUUUCUAGUAAUUAGGUUAAGUUGUUUCUCCCUUUUUGGUUUCCCUUCCUAACAAUCCCAAGGCCUGGUUGUCCCUGCUUUUUCAAGUGACAUGGUCCUGUUGGCAGAUGAGCUGAUUGGCACCACUUCCUCAUAACUGUGUCUUAGGGUCCUCAUCUCAUACACAGAAGCUCACUCUAAAGACUCAGCUGCGUCAGUGUCUAUUAUUCAGCAUCAUUAACCGUCAGCGCUCAAGACUCAGAAAUAUCACUUCCUGACAUUCACUAGAUCUUUGUAGAAUUAAUGGUCCUCAUCUGUGGGAC